AGACGUAGGGGGCGAGCGUUGUCCGGAAUUACUGGGCGUAAAGAGCACGUAGGCGGGUUAGAAAGUCAGAUGUGAAAGACCGUGGCUUAACUACGGGGUUGCAUCUGAAACUAGUAAUCUUGAGGGCAGGAGAGGUCAGUGGAAUUCCUGGUGUAGCGGUGAAAUGCGUAGAAAUCAGGAGGAACACCGGUGGCGAAGGCGACUGACUGGACUGACCCUGACGCUGAGGUGCGAAAGCGUGGGUAGCAAACAGGAUUAGAUACCCUGGUAGUCCACGCUGUAAACGAUGGAUACUAGGUGUGGGAGGUAUCGACCCCUUCCGUGCCGGAGCAAACGCAAUAAGUAUCCCGCCUGGGGAGUACGGUCGCAAGGCUGAA
This 377-nucleotide ribosomal RNA is filed under the name uncultured bacterium. RNAcentral's name for it is "bacterial SSU rRNA". It matches the Rfam family "Bacterial small subunit ribosomal RNA", at positions 523 to 898 of the family's 1533-position model. The record is from RNAcentral.